Molecule: small nucleolar RNA, 136 nt
Organism: Cavia porcellus (domestic guinea pig)
Lineage: Eukaryota; Metazoa; Chordata; Mammalia; Rodentia; Caviidae
Source: Ensembl
CUGGCCCUGAAUCAAGGCAGGCAGCUUCCUGAUGUGUUGGUUUAAAGCAGGAGCCUAAAGAGAUGUCUUUCUAUGAUCUGUUGGACAUUUUAAAACUUGGGCAGUGAAAUGAUCAAUUCAUUAGAAAAAAACAGCU